CCCUUAGAUGUCCGGGGCUGCACGCGCGCUACACUGAAGGAAUCAGCGUGCUAAAACCAUUGUCGAAAGGCAUUGGUAAACCCAUUAAAAUCCUACGUGAUUGGGAUCGGGAAUUGCAAUUAUUUCCCUUGAACGAGGAAUUCCCAGUAAGUGUGGGUCAUAAGCUCGCGUUGAUUACGUCCCUGCCCUUUGUACACACCGCCCGUCGCUGCCCGGGACUGAGCCGUUUCGAGAAAAGCGGGGACUGCUGCUGGCGGGGCUUUCGGGCCUUGGCUUCGGUGGAAACCGCUUUAAUCGCAGUGGCUUGAACCGGGCAAAAGUCGUAACA
RNAcentral lists this ribosomal RNA (328 nucleotides) under uncultured eukaryote. RNAcentral describes it as "partial 18S ribosomal RNA". It matches the Rfam family "Eukaryotic small subunit ribosomal RNA", at positions 1470 to 1796 of the family's 1831-position model. The record is from RNAcentral.